GCCAGACUCCUACGGGAGGCAGCAGUGGGGAAUAUUGCACAAUGGGGGAAACCCUGAUGCAGCGACGCCGCGUGAAGGACGAAGUAUUUCGGUACGUAAACUUCUAUCAGCAGGGAAGAAAAUGACGGUACCUGACCAAGAAGCCCCGGCUAACUACGUGCCAGCAGCCGCGGUAAUACGUAGGGGGCAAGCGUUAUCCGGAUUUACUGGGUGUAAAGGGAGCGUAGACGGCCAUGCAAGUCUGAUGUGAAAGCCCGGGGCUCAACCCCGGGACUGCAUUGGAAACUGUGCGGCUGGAGUGUCGGAGAGGCAAGUGGAAUUCCUAGUGUAGCGGUGAAAUGCGUAGAUAUUAGGAGGAACACCAGUGGCGAAGGCGGCUUGCUGGACGACGACUGACGUUGAGGCUCGAAAGCGUGGGGAGCAAACAGGAUUAGAUACCC
Molecule: ribosomal RNA, 440 nt
Filed under: uncultured bacterium
Lineage: Bacteria
Description: bacterial SSU rRNA
Rfam family: Bacterial small subunit ribosomal RNA
Source: RNAcentral